This 300-nucleotide ribosomal RNA is filed under the name uncultured Pseudacidovorax sp. RNAcentral's name for it is "bacterial SSU rRNA". It matches the Rfam family "Bacterial small subunit ribosomal RNA", at positions 496 to 795 of the family's 1533-position model. Lineage: Bacteria; Pseudomonadati; Pseudomonadota; Betaproteobacteria; Burkholderiales; Comamonadaceae. The record is from RNAcentral.
GCUAACUAAGUGCCAGCAGCCGCGGUAAUACGUAGGGUGCAAGCGUUAAUCGGAAUUACUGGGCGUAAAGCGUGCGCAGGCGGUGAUGUAAGACAGAGGUGAAAUCCCCGGGCUCAACCUGGGAACUGCCUUUGUGACUGCAUCGCUGGAGUGCGGCAGAGGGGGAUGGAAUUCCGCGUGUAGCAGUGAAAUGCGUAGAUAUGCGGAGGAACACCGAUGGCGAAGGCAAUCCCCUGGGCCUGCACUGACGCUCAUGCACGAAAGCGUGGGGAGCAAACAGGAUUAGAUACCCUUGUAGUC